This 522-nucleotide ribosomal RNA is filed under the name uncultured eukaryote. Its description in RNAcentral is "bacterial SSU rRNA". It matches the Rfam family "Eukaryotic small subunit ribosomal RNA", at positions 22 to 548 of the family's 1831-position model. The record is from RNAcentral.
AGUCAUAUGCUUGUCUCAAAGAUUAAGCCAUGCAUGUCUCAGUAUAAGUCUUCACAUGGCGAAACUGCGAAUGGCUCAUUAAAACAGUUAUAGUCUACUCGGUAAUCGACAGUUAUACGGAUAACUGCGGUAAUUCUGGAGCUAAUACGUGCGAAAAGACCCGACUUCUUGGAAGGGUUGUACUUAUUAGAUACAGAACCAAUGCUCUUCGGAGUUUUGGAUGAUUCAUAAUAAGCGAAUGGAGCGCAUACCUUGUGUGGCGCUAAACCGAUCGAGUUUCUGACCUAUCAGCUUUCGACGGUAGGGUAUUGGCCUACCGUGGCAUUGACGGGUAACGGAGAAUUAGGGUUCGAUUCCGGAGAGGGAGCCCGAGAAACGGCUACCACAUCUAAGGAAGGCAGCAGGCGCGCAAAUUACCCAAUGACCGAAGGUCGAGGUAGUGACGAAAAAUAACGAUAGCGGACUCUUCCGAGGCCCGCUAAUUGGAAUGAGUACACUUUAAAACCGUCCCCGAGGAUCUAU